CAGCAGCCGCGGUAAUUCGGAGGGUGCAAGCGUUAUCCGGAUUCACUGGGUUUAAAGGGUGCGUAGGCGGGCUUGUAAGUCAGUGGUGAAAGCCCGGGGCUCAACUCCGGAACUGCCAUUGAUACUGCAGGCCUUGAGUACAGUUGAGGUGGGCGGAAUACAUCAUGUAGAGGUGAAAUUCUUAGAUAUGAUGUAGAACACCGAUUGCGAAGGCAGCUCACUAAAGUGUAACUGACGCUGAGGCACGAAAGCGUGGGGAUCAAACAGGAUUAGAUACCCUGGUAGUCCACGCCCUAAACGAUGUUCACUCGACAUUAGCGAUAUACUGUUAGUGUCUAAGCAAAAGCGUUAAGUGAACCACCUGGGGAGUACGUCCGCAAGGAUGAAACUCAAAGGAAUUGACGG
RNAcentral lists this ribosomal RNA (405 nucleotides) under uncultured bacterium. Its description in RNAcentral is "bacterial SSU rRNA". It matches the Rfam family "Bacterial small subunit ribosomal RNA", at positions 509 to 916 of the family's 1533-position model. The record is from RNAcentral.